CGCAAACCUUAACCAUUCUUCAGUGCCGCAGACAUCUUUCUUGAGAUACCAAGUUAAACAUGUGCACUGGUGCUGAAUCUCGAGGAAAUAUAAAUGGUGAGCCUGUGAUUCCAAAGGUGGGAGGAGACUAUGAGGGGAAUAGAAUGAGAACCAUAGAAGAUGGAGAAAGAGAGAGAGCUUGUUACAACUGUGGCACAUUCAUUCAAGGUCUUCUUCAAC
Molecule: small RNA, 219 nt
Filed under: Vigna angularis var. angularis
Lineage: Eukaryota; Viridiplantae; Streptophyta; Magnoliopsida; Fabales; Fabaceae
Description: Non-protein coding transcript
Source: RNAcentral